GUGCUCACUUCAGCAGCACAUAUACUAAAAUUGGUAUGAUACAGCGAUUAGCAUGGCCCCUGUGCAAGGAUAAUGCACAAAUUCGUGAAGCAUUCCAUAAUUUU
Nycticebus coucang (slow loris) is the source of this 104-nucleotide small nuclear RNA. The record is from RefSeq and is a predicted model, not a curated record. NCBI's taxonomy places the organism in Eukaryota, Metazoa, Chordata, Mammalia, Primates, Lorisidae.